This 483-nucleotide ribosomal RNA is filed under the name uncultured bacterium. RNAcentral's name for it is "partial 16S ribosomal RNA". It matches the Rfam family "Bacterial small subunit ribosomal RNA", at positions 30 to 506 of the family's 1533-position model. The record is from RNAcentral.
AUUGAACGCUGGCGGCAGGCCUAACACAUGCAAGUCGAGCGGAUGAAGGGAGCUUGCUCCUGGAUUCAGCGGCGGACGGGUGAGUAAUGCCUAGGAAUCUGCCUGGUAGUGGGGGAUAACGUCCGGAAACGGGCGCUAAUACCGCAUACGUCCUGAGGGAGAAAGUGGGGGAUCUUCGGACCUCACGCUAUCAGAUGAGCCUAGGUCGGAUUAGCUAGUUGGUGGGGUAAAGGCCUACCAAGGCGACGAUCCGUAACUGGUCUGAGAGGAUGAUCAGUCACACUGGAACUGAGACACGGUCCAGACGCCUACGGGAGGCAGCAGUGGGGAAUAUUGGACAAUGGGCGAAAGCCUGAUCCAGCCAUGCCGCGUGUGUGAAGAAGGUCUUCGGAUUGUAAAGCACUUUAAGUUGGGAGGAAGGGCAGUAAGUUAAUACCUUGCUGUUUUGACGUUACCAACAGAAUAAGCACCGGCUAACUUCGU